GCAUUGGUGGUUCAGUGGUAGAAUUCUCAUCUUUCGUGAGGGAGACCCAGGUUCGAUUCCUGGCCAGUGUA
Molecule: non-coding RNA, 71 nt
Organism: Trichechus manatus latirostris (Florida manatee)
Lineage: Eukaryota; Metazoa; Chordata; Mammalia; Sirenia; Trichechidae
Source: the annotation of a RefSeq genome assembly